GUGCUCGCUUCGGCAGCACAUAUACAAAAAUUAGAAUGAUACAGAGAAGAUUAGUAUGGCCCCUGUGCAAGGGUGACACGCAAAUUCGUGAAGUGUUCCAUAUAAAA
Molecule: small nuclear RNA, 107 nt
Organism: Cercocebus atys (sooty mangabey)
Lineage: Eukaryota; Metazoa; Chordata; Mammalia; Primates; Cercopithecidae
Source: Ensembl